GACGGAGGCCCCGAGCGUUGUUCGGAAUCACUGGGCUUAAAGCGCGUGUAGGCGGGGUGGCAAGUACCGUGUGAAAUCCCCGGCUUCAACCCGGGAACUGCUUGGUAUACUGCCACUCUUGAGGCAGGUAGGGGUCGCUGGAACGUUAGGUGGAGCGGUGAAAUGCGUAGAUAUCUAACGGAACGCCUGUGGCGAAAGCGGGCGACUGGGCCUGACCUGACGCUGAGACGCGAAAGCGUAGGGAG
RNAcentral lists this ribosomal RNA (245 nucleotides) under uncultured bacterium. RNAcentral describes it as "partial 16S ribosomal RNA". It matches the Rfam family "Bacterial small subunit ribosomal RNA", at positions 524 to 768 of the family's 1533-position model. The record is from RNAcentral.